This 726-nucleotide ribosomal RNA is filed under the name Acrocalanus gibber. RNAcentral describes it as "bacterial SSU rRNA". It matches the Rfam family "Eukaryotic small subunit ribosomal RNA", at positions 43 to 742 of the family's 1831-position model. The record is from RNAcentral. Lineage: Eukaryota; Metazoa; Arthropoda; Copepoda; Calanoida; Paracalanidae.
CUCAAGUUUGCAUGUCUAAGUACAAGCCUAGCUAAGCAAUGAAACCGCGAAUGGCUCAUUAAAUCACACCUAAUCCACUGGACAGUAGCAGGUUACUUGGAUAACUGAGGUAAUUCUUGAGCUAAUACAUGCACACAAGCUUACGAGCCGUGCCUGCGGCGAGAAGCGCGUUUAUUAGAUCAGAACCAAUCGGCCUCUGGCCGUCCGUCUGGUGACUCUGAAUAACUUAUGGGCUGAUCGCACGGCCCUAGCGCACGGCGACAUGUCCUUCGAAGCGUGUGCCCUAUCCAGAACUGUCGACUGUGGCAUAGACGCGCCACAGUUCGGUUUUGACGGGUAACGGGGAAUCAGGGUCUCGAUUCCGGAGAGGGAGCCUUAAAAACGGCUACCACAUCAUCAAGGAAGGCAGCAGGCACGUAAAUUACCCAAAUUGACCGAACAGGUCGAGGUAGUGACGAAAAAUAACGAUACGGGACUCAUCCGAGGCCCCGUAAUCGGAAUGAGUACACUUUAAAUCCGUCACCGAGGAUCUAUUGGAGUGCAAGUCUGGUGCCAGCAGACGCGGUAAUUCCAGCUCCAAUAGCGUAUAUUAAAGUUGUUGCGGUUAAAAAGCUCGUAGUUGGAUUUCGGCGGCCGGAGGGCGGUACGACUUGUGUCGCGAUUGCCCUAUUGGCCGUGGUUCUGCCAGAGGUUUCAGGGUGCUCUUCAUCGAGUGUCCUGAGAUGC